CGGCGGACGGGUGAGUAACACGUGGGCAAUCUGCCCGAAAGUGGGGAAUACCCCAGGGAAACUUGGGCUAAUACCGCAUGACAUCCCGACCUCGAGAGAGGAUGGAAUCAAAGGGGGGCCGCAAGGUCUCCCGCUUUCGGAGGAGCCCGCGCCCGAUUAGCUAGUUGGCGGGGUAAUGGCCCACCAAGGCGACGAUCGGUAGCCGGCCUGAGAGGGUGAUCGGCCACACCGGAACUGAGACACGGUCCGG
This 250-nucleotide ribosomal RNA is filed under the name uncultured bacterium. Its description in RNAcentral is "partial 16S ribosomal RNA". It matches the Rfam family "Bacterial small subunit ribosomal RNA", at positions 96 to 334 of the family's 1533-position model. The record is from RNAcentral.